RNAcentral lists this long non-coding RNA (266 nucleotides) under Lathyrus oleraceus (garden pea). RNAcentral describes it as "Pisum sativum (pea) long non-coding RNA (PSAT_LNC022361)". The record is from RNAcentral. Lineage: Eukaryota; Viridiplantae; Streptophyta; Magnoliopsida; Fabales; Fabaceae.
GAACUAAUGUGUCGUUCUUUGACAAAUUUCCUCAAUCUCAACAAGGAUUACCACCUCGGUUCCAUACGUAAGUUGGCAUGUUAGACUCAUCGGUGGUAAUUUCCUUAAUUCUUUGUUAGAUACUCUUUAAAUUUCUUGCCUACAAAGUAAUUGUUGUUGUUGUUAGUUAUGACCAUCUUAGAGAUCUCAAAUAUUGUCAAAAUAUUUCUUUUGAAUAAAAAAAGGACAUUGUUCGAUAUAAUUUAUGACAAGGCUUUAACUCAUUU